GUUGAUGUAGCUUAUACAUAAAGCAAAGCACUGAAAAUGCUUAGAAGAGCUCUAAGCUCCAUAAACA
This 67-nucleotide transfer RNA is filed under the name Lophuromys chrysopus. RNAcentral describes it as "tRNA-Phe". It matches the Rfam family "tRNA". Rfam says of the family: Transfer RNA (tRNA) molecules are approximately 80 nucleotides in length. The record is from RNAcentral. Lineage: Eukaryota; Metazoa; Chordata; Mammalia; Rodentia; Muridae.